UACGGAGGGUGCAAGCGUUAAUCGGAAUUACUGGGCGUAAAGCGCACGCAGGUGGCUGAGUCAGUCGAUUGUGAAAGCCCUGGGCUUAACCUGGGAAUUGCAGUCGAUACUACUCGGCUAGAGUAUGGGAGAGGGCAGUGGAAUUCCCGGUGUAGCGGUGAAAUGCGUAGAUAUCGGGAGGAACAUCAGUGGCGAAGGCGGCUCACUGGCCCGGUACUGACGCUGAGGUGCUAAAGCGUGGGGAGCAAACAGG
Molecule: ribosomal RNA, 253 nt
Filed under: uncultured bacterium
Lineage: Bacteria
Description: partial 16S ribosomal RNA
Rfam family: Bacterial small subunit ribosomal RNA
Source: RNAcentral